UUUUUUUUUUUUUUUUUUUUUAUGUUAAGGGGAAAGGAUCUUGUUUUGGGCUUAAGAAAUCCCAAGAUUUCCACCUGCAAUUUCAGUUUGAGGAUAAUAACCACAGCAGCUGACUCUGCAGGGAAGGAAGCUUCAGAGUAACCACUUUCACAGCUCAGUCCAGAGUUCUCACUCUUUUUUGUUGUUAUUGUGUUUUGUUUGUUUGUUUUUCUCGUCUUCUUCUUUUCUUGUAUUGAUCGGAUCAGACUCUUCAUUCAUCAGUUCACUGAUGCUGGUGCUGUCAGGUCCAGAGGAAUGGCACCUGCAUGCAAAGAAAAUUUAAAUGGAGAGAGAGCUGUUCCCAAGCUGGCUGUGAGACACCGAGGUGGAGUCUUCUGCUAGAGCACAUGCCAUGUGAGCUUGGGCUGCAGAGGCUGGUCUUACUGAUAAAUGGUUCAAUUUCUAAUAUUUGAAGCUUGAUCUACACUUGCAGGCUUGUCUCAUAGGUGUUCUGAGCUGAUACGGUGUUUUAUCAAGCAAUUUUGUGGUGGCAGUUUAUCUGAGGGACUCUAGGAGUCACUGACAGAUGAAUGAAUAUUUGUGGUGUUAUGCCCAAGGACUGAAAAAUAAUUCAUUUAGGAGUAGCUUCCCAUCAGUAUGUAUAUUCAGUUCUUAUCUUCAUUUGUCUCUUUCUGAGUCCAGGAAAAUCUUUUUUGUUUGUUUUAUUUUCUUUGACUGACAAGGGACUGAAAUUGCUCAGAGUUUAUUUUUGUGUCCAGCAUAGUGAGGAACUGGCAAUUUCUGCACUACAGGUACUACAGCAUGGAAAUCUCCUGGUUAUGGAUAAUAGGAAACAUGUCUAUGCCCAGGUGAACGUGCAUGUGGCUAUUUCAGCUUGAGGAACUCUAGUUGUUUGGAAGUAAUCUAUUUAAAAUACACGCACAUAAACCACAGUCGUAGUAUCAUUGGAGUUAUCUUUCUUUGAUAUUGCCAUCAGCUAACAUUACCUGAUGGUAACUUUUCAUAUAACUAAAUACAUAUAUAUAUACACGUAAUAUCUUUUAUACUCAAAUGUUCAAGCAAGGUUAUGAUGAUGUUUUAACUAAUCUAACAGUAUCACUCUGUUGAUAACCACUCUUCCAUCAGUAUUGACAUUUACCUCUUUUUCUGUCUACUAAUGUUAUGACUUACAUUUUUUGCUUUGUGAUAUACCAGCUUAAUAUAUACCUGGUAUAUCAGGUAAUUGACAUGUAUAACUUCAGUAAUAAGAUGUAACUAAAUUAAACUAUUAUC
RNAcentral lists this long non-coding RNA (1272 nucleotides) under Strigops habroptila (Kakapo). Its description in RNAcentral is "lncRNA (ENSSHBG00005003401.1)". The record is from RNAcentral. Lineage: Eukaryota; Metazoa; Chordata; Aves; Psittaciformes; Psittacidae.